UCCGGCAUGGUCUAGUGGUUAGGAUACCUGGCUCUCACCCAGGAGGCCCGGGUUCAAUUCCCGGUGUCGGAA
RNAcentral lists this transfer RNA (72 nucleotides) under Rhipicephalus microplus (southern cattle tick). RNAcentral describes it as "tRNA-Glu". It matches the Rfam family "tRNA". From Rfam's summary of the family: Transfer RNA (tRNA) molecules are approximately 80 nucleotides in length. Their secondary structure includes four short double-helical elements and three loops (D, anti-codon, and T loops). Lineage: Eukaryota; Metazoa; Arthropoda; Arachnida; Ixodida; Ixodidae. RNAcentral also lists the same sequence under 1 other name. The record is from Rfam by way of RNAcentral.